UACCAUUCAGUGGGGGAUAACGUAGCGAAAGUUACGCUAAUACCGCAUAUUCUGUGCGCAGGAAAGCAGGGGAUCGCAAGACCUUGCGCUGAUUGAGCGGCCGAUAUCAGAUUAGCUAGUUGGUGGGGUAAAAGCUCACCAAGGCGACGAUCUGUAGCGGGUCUGAGAGGAUGAUCCGCCACACUGGAACUGAGACACGGUCCAGACUCCUACGGGAGGCAGCAGUGGGGAAUUUUGGACAAUGGGGGCAACCCUGAUCCAGCCAUGCCGCGUGAGUGAAGAAGGCCUUCGGGUUGUAAAGCUCUUUCGGCCGGGAAAAAAUCGCAUGGGUUAAUACCCUGUGUGGAUGAUGGUACCGGAAUAAGAAGCACCGGCUAACUACGUGCCAGCAGCCGCGGUAAUACGUAGGGUGCGAGCGUUAAUCGGAAUUACUGGGCGUAAAGCGUGCGCAGGCGGUUUUGUAAGACAGGCGUGAAAUCCCCGGGCUCAACCAGGGAACUGCGCUUGUGACUGCAAGGCUAGAGUAUGGCAGAGGGGGGUGGAAUUCCACGUGUAGCAGUGAAAUGCGUAGAGAUGUGGAGGAACACCAAUGGCGAAGGCAGCCCCCUGGGCCAAUACUGACGCUCAUGCACGAAAGCGUGGGUAGCAAACAGGAUUAGAUACCCUGGUAGUCCACGCCCUAAACGAUGUCAACUAGGUGUUGGGAGGGUAAAACCUUUUAGUACCGGAGCUAACGCGUGAAGUUGACCGCCUGGGGAGUACGGCCGCAAGGUCAAAACUCAAAGGAAUUGACGGGGACCCGCACAAGCGGUGGAUGAUGUGAUUAAUUCGAUGCAACGCGAAAAACCUUACCUACCCUUGACAUGUCCAGGAGCCUGAAGAGAUUUGGGUGUGCCCGAAAGGGAACUGGAACACAGGUGCUGCAUGGCUGUCGUCAGCUCGUGUCGUGAGAUGUUGGGUUAAGUCCCGCAACGAGCGCAACCCUUGUCGUUAAUUGCCAUCAUUCAGUUGGGCACUUUAACGAGACUGCCGGUGACAAACCGGAGGAAGGUGGGGAUGACGUCAAGUCCUCAUGGCCCUUAUGGGUAGGGCUUCACACGUCAUACAAUGGUCGGUACAAAGGGUUGCCAACCCGCGAGGGGGAGCCAAUCCCAGAAAGCCGAUCGUAGUCCGGAUUGCAGGCUGCAACUCGCCUGCAUGAAGUCGGAAUCGCUAGUAAUCGUGGAUCAGCAUGUCACGGUGAAUACGUUCCCGGGUCUUGUACACACCGCCCGUCACACCAUGGGAGCGGGUUCCGCCAGAAGUAGGUAGCCUAACCGCAAGGGGGGCGCUUACCACGGCGGGGUUCGUGACUGGGGUGAAGUCGUAACAAGGUA
Molecule: ribosomal RNA, 1376 nt
Filed under: metagenome
Description: bacterial SSU rRNA
Rfam family: Bacterial small subunit ribosomal RNA
Source: RNAcentral